RNAcentral lists this unclassified non-coding RNA (338 nucleotides) under soil metagenome. RNAcentral's name for it is "partial contains 5.8S ribosomal RNA, internal transcribed spacer 2, and large subunit ribosomal RNA". The stretch from base 1 to 120 matches the Rfam family "5.8S ribosomal RNA", at positions 35 to 154 of the family's 154-position model. The record is from RNAcentral.
GAUGAAGAACGUAGCGAAAUGCGAUAAGUAAUGUGAAUUGCAGAAUUCAGUGAAUCAUCGAAUCUUUGAACGCACAUUGCGCCCGCCAGUAUUCUGGCGGGCAUGCCUGUUCGAGCGUCAUUUCAACCAUCAAGCCCCCGGCUUGUGUUGGGGACCUGCGGCUGCCGCAGGCCCUGAAAAGCAGUGGCGGGCUCGCUAGUCACACCGAGCGCAGUAGCACAUCUCGCUCAGGGCGUGCGGCGGGUUCUUGCCGUAAAACAACCCCCCCUUUUCACCAAGGUUGACCUCGGAUCAGGUAGGAAUACCCGCUGAACUUAAGCAUAUCAAUAAGCGGAGGA